CUUAAUUUAAAUAGAGUUAUUAUAUUAAAUAAAUACAACAAGGAGUAAAAUAGCAAUCAAUUGUGAACACUCUACAAAUAACAACUCAGAUCCUAUAAGAGAGAGAAAAAGCUGGAGAUAUAGAAAGCUAGCCAUGGAGUCAAAUGCCCAAGGUACGGUGUACAACGACUUUAGGGUGUAGCCUUAGAGAUUGGGUUUAUAUAUCUUUCUUGGAGGCGCCAUAUGAGUGAAACGACAUAGAUAUAUAUUGAGAGAAACCGGAGAAGAAAAGGGAGAGAUCGAAGAAAGCCGGUGGUGGGUGUUUUCCGGGGGGAUGGUACGCCAGCAAGUGAAAGGUGAGCCCUUAGCUUCACGCUUGACCAUCAGGUAGUUCCAGAAGGGUAGUGAUGAUGUCAGUGGAUUAUGUGCUUCCCUGUGAAGAAGCAUCAGGUCGCAACUGUUACUAUCGUGAUAUGUCUCCGGUGAAGAAACUCCAGCAGAUCUGGAUGGAGAUGGAGUAGGUUCAACGAGUCUAGCAAUGAUUCUUGGUAACCAGGAAGAAAAUAUUGGUAGAAAGGUUGAUGACGAUUGACGAGACCCAAAUGGUGAUAACAGUCUUUAGUUCCAACAAAAGGGAAAUGGGUGUGCUUAUGAUUUGGUUUUCUCGAUGCGUGUUUGGGUGAAACUAUGGGUCUCUGAUGAUUGUCAUUGGGUGCUUCUAGAAUGGGCCAGAGCAAGACAAAGAGAUGAUGGCAGAUCGGCACUGUCGAAGGAGAAGAUGGUCGUGAAGUCGGUUACAGGAAUUGGAACGCCGCCGUGAUGUUCACAGAUUCAUCAAUUGGUAUCAGAGCGGGUCUUCAAGAUCAAUGUGAUUUUUGAAGAACGAUUCUCGGUUUGGCAACUUUUGUCGCAAUUGGAGCAAUUUUGGUGAGUCUUUCUCUAUGAUCUCUCAUAAUAUUUGAAUCGUGCGUUGCGUUUUUAAAAUUUUUUGAUCGUUUGACUCAUUGGAUCAAAUUUUCUUUAAAAAACCCACUUGUUGUGAUCCAAUAUUAUUUUUGUUGAUCAAAUCCUGAUCCAAUCCUGUUUGUUUGUUUGAUCCGAUUUUCAAAUUGAAACUAUUCAUUUGAAUCGAAUUUAAACUCAAAUUCAUUGUGAUUCAAUUUCUUGUGAUUUUACCCAAUGUUUUGGUCAGAUCAAUAUUUUUAUUGGAAUAUUUGAAGUCAAAUCGAGAAUCUGUUACUGUUUAUGAUGAUCUUUUAAGCCCGAAUAUAUUCGAUUAAGAUCCAAUAUCAUUAAUCUCUUACUGUUCAUAUCUACAAAGCCCAUAAGUGUUUUUGAUCCACUAUAUUCAAAUUGUGAGCCCAAUGAUUUGACAAAUCCUCUUAAAAAUAUCUCGCUAUUGUUCUUCAUCGUAAGUUUACUGACUGACGAUGUUUAUUGAAUCGCGUUUUCUUCAACUUGUUCUAGCAUCUUCGUUUUCUUCUCAUCAUUUCUAAAAUUGAUUUGUUUUGAUUGUUGAAUUCAACUUAUGAAUCGAUUUGAUAUAAUUUGUAUAUUCACAAAAUCGAUUAUGAUUAAGUUGCUGUUAAGAAAUCAUAAAAUCUGUUUUUGAUUUUGAUAAAUCUUGAACAAGAACACUUGAAGGAGGUGAAGAUCGAUUGGUUGAACAUAUUUUGAUCUGAAAUUUGUUGUUAGAAGCAUCGGUUUAUUGUUUAAUGAACUUUGAAAUCGGAAAAGUCAAAAGCAGAAAAAGUCAACUUCAAUUUUUGAAUGAUGAAACAAUGAAUUGAAGGCUGAAGUCGUUGGUUUUGAAGUUGAGAACAAGCUAUCGAUCUCGAAAUCAAGUCUAUUUUGGUGUUUAAUUUCGAAAUCUGGGUGAUUUGGAGUUCAUGGGAUCGAACAAAUUUUUAAGUUUGAUACGAAGAACUGGAAAUUGAAAGGCUUAACGAUUUUUUUUUCCGAAUAAUUGAUGUUUAUGAUUCGUUACUAAUAAUGAAGAAUUGAUGCACGAAGAUUUGGUUAAACAGUUUCAAAAGGUUGAUAAGCGAAUGGAUGUAAUCAAAAGUUUUAUAAUCGAAGGCAUACGAUCAAACUGUCUUCGUUAUGUCACAAUUGUAUGCCUGGAAUGAGAUUCGAAUGAAAAGGAUUUAGCUGGGAAAAUGUUUGAGGUUUGAAUGGUUCUGUUUGUAUAAAACAAGAAACAAAGGGGUUAUUGAUCAAGGGGAGAAAGAAUAAUUUUGAUUCGAAGAGUGUUUGAUUUUUAUACGAAGGGUAUUUGGGAAUUAGACGAAGAGUUAUGGUUAACUGAUAUACGAAGGGUAUAAUUGUUGGUGCAUACGAAAGGAAGUCAAAUCUUCGUAUGAAUUGAAAGAAAAUGGAAAGUUUUGAAUUUGACCCCUAAACCUUCGAAUUUUUGUCACUUUGAAAAUUAAAGCAAGUUUCAAAUAUUUGACACUUUUCACCCAAAUUCGAAAUUUUUUUGGAGCUUCCUAUAUUUGGGGAUGCUUCGUAUGGUUUCAGCAUAAAGGCAAAAUUUUCGAAAAUAGUCCCAAGGCUUCGAAUUUUUGGCAGUUUGCACCCAAAUUCGAAAAGGACUGUUUUUUGCUGAAAAUUGAAGAAAGUGCAUUUCAGACCCCUACAGUUUGUGCAAAUUGACGCUUUCUACCCAGCUUUGGAAAAGGGGGAGAGUUUUGCAUAUUUUGCUGUUUUGGGCGCACCGGGUCACUGCAUAAUUUUGAAAUUGAUAAUUUCUACCCAUUUUUGAGAAAUUUUGUCAAAGACGAUCCGUGAACGAAUCUAAAAAUUGAAUAUUUUUUGGAUUUUCCGGAUUGAAGCACAAAGUUUAUGCCACAUGUUAAGGGUGAGUUUUGACACGAAAAAUUCCAAAUAAAGCACGUUCUUUUUCCUUAAGAGUUUUAUAAUCAAAUUUCGAUAAUAAAAAGGGGGAGAAGUUUUAUAUGGAAAUUCGAACUUGAAUUUUUCAUAUUACGCGAAUUUGAAGACCGAAGUGAUCUUGAAGUUUUGAAGCUUACGAGAUGAUGCAAUUGGAAGUUCGAAAGUGAUGUAUUCGAAAUGGGUUUGGUUUUAUUGAAGAUUUUUGGGGUGUGUUUUUUAUGCGCAACUUUACGGUGAUUAUUUGGAGUUAAUCAUUCGUUGCUGCUCGGUUUGUAUGGUCUCACAUCCUAGAGCCUAAAUUGAAGAAUCAUGGAAGAAUUGAAGAUUGAAGUUCGUUUCGGCAUGUGUCACCUUUGAGGCUCGAACCGCGUAGUUGCUCAACUUUGGAAGAAUUGAAGUGGGUCAUUCAUUCCUAACUUUGAGGGGAAGAAUGUAGGGGUGCAAAGUUAUUCAUGAUUGACUUUGUAAAUGUUUGACUUUUGUAAAACCUACUUACUUGUGGUGCAUUAGCCUUUAGACCUAUGUGUUAGUGAGAGUGAGAGAGACAUGUAAACACCUCUAUAUAAGGUGGGUUUGUCCACUUGUAGAGGUGUGUUUGAGGGAUGUAAAAGUUGAGUGUGUAAGUGUGUGUUAUUUAUGUAGUCUAGAUCUAGAUCCUUUUUGUAACACCAUAUACAAUCAAUACAUCUCUUGAACACCCAAAUCACCAUCUUCAAUUGUGCAAUCUUUAAUUCCGCAUGGCAAACAAUGCUCUUUGUCACUA
Long non-coding RNA from Lactuca sativa (garden lettuce), 3637 nucleotides. RefSeq lists it as uncharacterized. The record is from RefSeq and is a predicted model, not a curated record. NCBI's taxonomy places the organism in Eukaryota, Viridiplantae, Streptophyta, Magnoliopsida, Asterales, Asteraceae.